GCUGGGCGUAGUGGCGGACGCCUGUAAUCCCAGCGACUCGGGAGGCUGAGGCAGGAGAAUCGCUUGAACCCAGGAGGCGGAGAUUGUAGUGAGCCGAGAUCGUGCCACUGCAUUCCAGCCUGGGCGACAGAGUGAGACUCUGUCUCAA
Molecule: unclassified non-coding RNA, 148 nt
Organism: Macaca fascicularis (crab-eating macaque)
Lineage: Eukaryota; Metazoa; Chordata; Mammalia; Primates; Cercopithecidae
Rfam family: Metazoan signal recognition particle RNA
About the family: The signal recognition particle (SRP) is a universally conserved ribonucleoprotein. It is involved in the co-translational targeting of proteins to membranes. The eukaryotic SRP consists of a 300-nucleotide 7S RNA and six proteins: SRPs 72, 68, 54, 19, 14, and 9.
Source: Ensembl